RNAcentral lists this ribosomal RNA (492 nucleotides) under uncultured bacterium. RNAcentral's name for it is "partial 16S ribosomal RNA". It matches the Rfam family "Bacterial small subunit ribosomal RNA", at positions 30 to 507 of the family's 1533-position model. The record is from RNAcentral.
AUUGAACGCUGGCGGCAUGCUUUACACAUGCAAGUCGAACGGUAACAGGCCUUCGGGUGCUGACGAGUGGCGAACGGGUGAGUAAUGCAUCGGAACGUGCCCAGAGGUGGGGGAUAACGCAGCGAAAGCUGUGCUAAUACCGCAUGUGAUCUGAGGAUGAAAGCGGGGGACCAAGCAGCAAUGUUUGGCCUCGUGCCUCUGGAGCGGCCGAUGUCAGAUUAGGUAGUUGGUGGGGUAAAGGCCUACCAAGCCGACGAUCUGUAGCUGGUCUGAGAGGACGACCAGCCACACUGGGACUGAGACACGGCCCAGACUCCUACGGGAGGCAGCAGUGGGGAAUUUUGGACAAUGGGCGCAAGCCUGAUCCAGCAAUGCCGCGUGCGGGAAGAAGGCCUUCGGGUUGUAAACCGCUUUUGUACGGAACGAAAAGGCUCUGGCUAAUACCUGGGGCUGAUGACGGUACCGUAAGAAUAAGCACCGGCUAACUACGUG